AAUGAAGUGCCUGAUUAAAGGAUUAUUGUGAUAGAAUAAUUAAAGUAGAUUUAAUCUACCUUCAUUA
This 67-nucleotide transfer RNA is filed under the name Mastotermes darwiniensis (giant northern termite). RNAcentral's name for it is "tRNA-Ile". The record is from RNAcentral. Lineage: Eukaryota; Metazoa; Arthropoda; Insecta; Blattodea; Mastotermitidae.